GGUCCUGUUGUCCAACGGCUAAGACGCUUCGUUUACACCGAAGUGACCCAGGUUCGAUUCCUGGCAGGACCA
This 72-nucleotide transfer RNA is filed under the name Candidatus Pacearchaeota archaeon. RNAcentral describes it as "tRNA-Val". It matches the Rfam family "tRNA". Rfam says of the family: Transfer RNA (tRNA) molecules are approximately 80 nucleotides in length. Lineage: Archaea; Nanobdellati. The record is from RNAcentral.